This 667-nucleotide long non-coding RNA is filed under the name Volvox carteri. RNAcentral's name for it is "long non-coding RNA (VCAR_LNC000499)". Lineage: Eukaryota; Viridiplantae; Chlorophyta; Chlorophyceae; Chlamydomonadales; Volvocaceae. The record is from RNAcentral.
UCGCUGAUUCGUUCUGAAAUAGGGUUACAAUAAAACACCCUUAGUUGGUUAUUAAACCCAAGCUAAAAGUAAGACCCUACAACCCAAAUCCAACGCGUCCUUUCGGAAUGCGUCCAUUAUCCGUACAGAUCCAGGUUUUGUGGAUUAAGACGAUUUUAGCCCCAUAGGGGUCUAGACGCGACUUCCCCACCCCCGGUCACCUCCUUCCCCUUGCCCUUCCCCGGGGGAUCCCCCCCAACCAAGGCCGUGAAAAACCAAAGUUCGUACAUUAAGCACACGCGCCUCCAUGGGACUCCCCAGCAAAUCCCGGCAGCUAAGCUACGGCGCACGAUGGAGCGUAACUCGUACCGCAAACACGAACCCGUGACAGCGCCACACAAUACAAUGCAGUACAGUACAGCACAGUACGACACUGCCAGCGGUAUGGUCGCAUGUAUGGCCGUACCAUCCAUGCACCACCCGAGAAUCAAGACCCCCCAUUCUGGGAAUCACCAUCCAGCUUCAUGCCACAACCGCCAUCACAGCCGCCGCCGCCGCCGCCGGCAUCCUAAACACGGCAAAACCCGCACGCGCGCGUGGAAGCCCACAACGUUCCCGCCCAUGGACUUAUUAAAAGAAGCCGGUCAAAAGAAAAUUCAGCAAUUAUUCCAAAAGGACAAAAGAAGCU